UACGUAGGGCGCAAGCGUUGUCCGGAAUUAUUGGGCGUAAAGAGCUCGUAGGCGGUUUGUUGCGUCGGCUGUGAAAUCCCGAGGCUCAACCUCGGGUCUGCAGUCGAUACGAGCAAACUAGAGUGUUGCAGGGGAGACUGGAAUUCCUGGUGUAGCGGUGAAAUGCGCAGAUAUCAGGAGGAACACCGGUGGCGAAGGCGGGGUCUCUGG
RNAcentral lists this ribosomal RNA (210 nucleotides) under uncultured bacterium. RNAcentral describes it as "partial 16S ribosomal RNA". It matches the Rfam family "Bacterial small subunit ribosomal RNA", at positions 524 to 732 of the family's 1533-position model. The record is from RNAcentral.